UGGGGAAUAUUGGACAAUGGGCGCAAGCCUGAUCCAGCCAUGCCGCGUGAGUGAUGAAGGCCUUAGGGUUGUAAAGCUCUUUCGCCGGUGAAGAUAAUGACGGUAACCGGAGAAGAAGCCCCGGCUAACUUCGUGCCAGCAGCCGCGGUAAUACGAAGGGGGCUAGCGUUGCUCGGAAUCACUGGGCGUAAAGCGCACGUAGGCGGAUCGUUAAGUCAGGGGUGAAAUCCUGGAGCUCAACUCCAGAACUGCCCUUGAUACUGGCGAUCUCGAGUUCGAGAGAGGUUGGCGGAACUCCGAGUGUAGAGGUGAAAUUCGUAGAUAUUCGGAAGAACACCAGUGGCGAAGGCGGCCAACUGGCUCGAUACUGACGCUGAGGUGCGAAAGCGUGGGGAGCAAAACAGGAUUAGAUACCCUGGUAGUCCACGCCGUAAAACGAUGGAUGCUAGCCGUUGGGGGGUUUACCUCUCAGUGGCGCAGCUAACGCCUUAAGCAUCCCGCCUGGGGAGUACGGUCGCAAGAUUAAAAACUUAAAGGAAUUGACGGGGUCAUAGCUGUUUCCU
This 563-nucleotide ribosomal RNA is filed under the name uncultured bacterium. RNAcentral describes it as "partial 16S ribosomal RNA". It matches the Rfam family "Bacterial small subunit ribosomal RNA", at positions 355 to 1375 of the family's 1533-position model. The record is from RNAcentral.